Long non-coding RNA from Perca flavescens (yellow perch), 1006 nucleotides. RefSeq lists it as uncharacterized. The record is from RefSeq and is a predicted model, not a curated record. Lineage: Eukaryota; Metazoa; Chordata; Actinopteri; Perciformes; Percidae. The transcript is spliced from 2 exons.
UGCAGCUGCUGUAAAUAAAAAUGCCCUCAUCCUUUCUGUCCGAAGAAUUGGCUGAAAAUUCUGGCCCUUUACCAGCGAAUACAGUUACUAAAUCAACAAUAUGAAGUUUGUGCUAGAGCUGCUGUGUUUGUGCCUUCUGUUUGGAAACACGUUUAGUGAUGAAGAAGGGCGUGCGCCUGGGAACACCCACGGAGACAAGAGUAUUACAUACAUGGGUAUGAUUCCGGACAACACAGGACCAGAUGGCAUUGUUACCAAGGCCCUAGCAGCCUUAAGUGGGCUGUCUGGAGAAUUGGCCCAAAACUCUGGAGUCAACAAUCCCUUUGGUGACAGAUCAGAGGGGAGCCCAGGGUCUCUUUUACCGCUGGCUCAAUUCUCCUCACUCCCCUUGUUGGCGUUGGUGUCCUUCUUGCUGUGCUAGUGAUGUAUGUGAGUUACAUCCCAUGAAGACGUAAUGAAGCAGAAUCAUCAGCAGAAAAGACUUGAGUCUCUCAGAGACCUUUUAGAGCAGCCACCUGAUCCAUAAAGAAACAGGACAGCUCCUGUUUCUGAAACAUCAAGAUUUGGGUGCACUGGGUGUGCUGCCUGUAGGGAAAAAGCCAUCCUUAGCUUUCCCGGUGCUUCAGCAGGGACUCCAGUCUCCCUGCUCUGUCAGGAAACCAUUGCAGGAAUGAUCUGGUCUGUAGGCUAGAAGUCAGCAUUGUUGGUUUUCUCCGUCGGCGUCUGAACUCGGACUCCCCUUGACACUCUGCUGGACUGUUGUUGGAGUGUGAACAUGGUUCCUUGUGAUGAGUCUCCACUGCAGCGCUGAUGCCCAACCGCACCUUGUAUGAUUCUCUCCACCUGGACCUGGACCCCUUGAACAGAUGACGUCAUCAGGCUGAAUGACUUUAUCAGCAGGAAUCUGGAGGCUGCUUUCACCUGUGAAUAAAAUUACAUCGAGUUGCCUUGUGCUGAAAUGUGCUAUAUAAAUAAAAUUGCCUUGCCUUAUCUCAACUACCUGAAA